This 233-nucleotide long non-coding RNA is filed under the name Lathyrus oleraceus (garden pea). Its description in RNAcentral is "Pisum sativum (pea) long non-coding RNA (PSAT_LNC011223)". The record is from RNAcentral. Lineage: Eukaryota; Viridiplantae; Streptophyta; Magnoliopsida; Fabales; Fabaceae.
UCAAUUAAAACACACUAAUUUAAAUCUCAUAAUAAAUCUCAUAUCAUAAUUUAAAAACAUCAACUCAUAAGUCUUCUCCAAAUGCUUAUCACACCAAAACAUAAAUUACGAGAACAUACAUUGUCUCUCAGUAAUCUCAACAUAAAAAAAAGAAAUAUCUCCUCAGUGUUACAUAUUAGAGCAUAACCAAACAUAAAACAAAGAAAUUAAAAAAAAUAGCUCUAGGAACAAGC